RNAcentral lists this ribosomal RNA (480 nucleotides) under uncultured bacterium. Its description in RNAcentral is "partial 16S ribosomal RNA". It matches the Rfam family "Bacterial small subunit ribosomal RNA", at positions 28 to 507 of the family's 1533-position model. The record is from RNAcentral.
GAUGAACGCUAGCGGCAGGCCUAAUACGUGCAAGUCGAGGGGUAUGGGUUGCUUGCAACCCAGAGACCGGCGCACGGGUGCGUAACGCGUAUGCAAUCUACCUUAAUCAGGGGGAUAGCCCGGAGAAAUCCGGAUUAACACCGCAUAACAUUGAGUUGUGGCAUCACAGUUCAAUCAAAUAUUUAUAGGAUUAAGAUGAGCAUGCGUGACAUUAGUUAGUUGGUGAGGUAACGGCUCACCAAGACCACGAUGUCUAGGGGAUCUGAGAGGAUGACCCCCCACACUGGUACUGAGGCACGGACCAGACUCGUACGGGAGGCAGCAGUAAGGAAUAUUGAUCAAUGGGCGCAAGCCUGAACCAGCCAUGCCGCGUGCAGGAAGACGGCCCUAUGGGUUGUAAACUGCUUUUGUACCGGAAUAAACCUUCUCUUGCGAGAGAAGCUGAACGUACGGUAAGAAUAAGGAUCGGCUAACUCCGUG